AGGUUCCCAUGAAGGGAGGGUGUCCUCUACACCCGACAAGUGAGGCUGAGCCACACUACUGAUCAGCCAGACAGCCAAAGUAUCCAUGCCAGCCCGUGUCCCUGGGAAACGUAAGCUUCUCACUCAGCCAAGGCAACAAGAGAGCCUCUGCUUGACGGCCUCCCUGCCAGAGAAACUCAUCAGCUACAGGAUCCAGUUUUCAGGGCCAGUUUCACUGCAAGAAUAAUCUGCCAGACCACGAGUACUCCAGCAGUCUCCUUCUUCCACCAACUAUCUGCUGUUACCAAGCCGGCCAGCUGCAGCAGACACACAUGUGGAAAGUUGUGUGCAGUGAGAUUCACCAGAUAGAACCUAUUUGGAGUUGAUGUUGAGCAAUGUUAAUUCAUUUGCAUUUCAGUUCCACUAACAUCAAAGGAAAUCGGUACAUCUGUUUUCAGUUUUUGUUGCAAUUUUACUUAAUUUUUGUCACUUUAAUUAUAAUUGGCAUGGUCUCAUCUAAACACUACUUAAACAUCAGCACAUUAUACAUUUUC
This is a long non-coding RNA of Sander lucioperca (pikeperch), 533 nucleotides long. RefSeq lists it as uncharacterized. The record is from RefSeq and is a predicted model, not a curated record. NCBI's taxonomy places the organism in Eukaryota, Metazoa, Chordata, Actinopteri, Perciformes, Percidae. The transcript has 2 exons.